This 35001-nucleotide long non-coding RNA is filed under the name Zea mays. RNAcentral's name for it is "long non-coding RNA (ZMAY_LNC003170)". The record is from RNAcentral. Lineage: Eukaryota; Viridiplantae; Streptophyta; Magnoliopsida; Poales; Poaceae.
GCUUCUUCAGUAUUCUUCCCUUUUGAUACUGAAGAUUCAGGAGCAAUCACCCCCUCAGUAUUCCUCUCAUGCUGCAUACUAGCAAUAAUUCUGUCAAUCUUUGAUAAGGUGGUCCCAAGAGGACCACCACUACUUUCAGCCUCUUGAGGCCCUUUCAGCAGCUUCGUCAAUAGCAGAGGGGCAAUUCUCUUUUGUAUUACCGGUGGGGGGUAUCGAGGACUGCCCUCAUCAUAGUCAUCAUGUGUCGCCUCUUCUGGGCAUUUCCCCCACCAAGAGACGAAGGAACCUUUUCGAUUUCUGCUUCGACAACUUCCCUAGCACCUUUUUCUUAUGGCUGUAAUAAGCUGGUUAGCUCCGAUCCUAGAGGACUUAGCAUGGUGAAAGGCAAGGGUUCAGUCAUUACCUCUAGGAUUUCUAUCACACCAUGGAAGACACCAAAAGAGUUUCGAUGUUACGCUUCGGCAGAUAAGACUUUUCUUCCUCAGCAUGGUUCGACUCCAUAGUUUUCCGUUUCUUGGGUACCGAAGGUUUCGGUGUCAUCUUAGAAAUUUCAAUUUCUCCAAAAACAUUUGGUAUUUUUGAUAGCUUUUUAUUUUUAUCCUUCUCGAUGGAUCUUAUUGCUUGUCUUUUUAGAAUACUUACAACCCUCUUCUUCUUUACUCCCCUAGCCUCUUCGUCAAGUCUAUCAUAAUCAGGAUAUUCAAAGCCGAGGGUAUCCAUCACUCAAUUUAAUCUUCGUUUCUCCUAAGUGCCGAAGGCAGCAGUCAUCAACUGGUUUUCUUUCUUAGUAUAGUUCCCAAGAAUUUCAUUGCACAUUCUUUCGAUCACUUCUAGUGAUUCGGCACAAGGGCCGCUGAAGGUUUUUUGGAACUUAAAGCGGUAUGGUAGCCUAACAAGCUCAAGAUUAUUUCCUUCGUCUUUCCUCUGUGACAUUCCUCAUAUGCCUGAUGUCGGGAAAUUUUUAUUCGCUAGAUAUUCUUGCAUUAAAUCCAGAGUACUAAUGUGCGCAGCCACAACUCUGAAUUGAACUUUAGCUAACUGGCAUGGGGAGCCGAGUUGCAUAUUGCAUAUUGGUAUUGUCAUGCCGAAGCUCAGCUUUAACGGACUCAUCACCGUACUCAUAAGUUUUUCUCUCUUCUUCCCAUCGGCUUUCACAUAGAACCACUCAUUGGUCCAGCCACUAGGCCAUUUAGUACGAUAUCCAAUCACUGGAGCAUUUGUGUCCUUUCGAUAGGCGAAGUUGUAGCAUUCGAAGUUCUUGUGGAGGUUGUCCACCCUAGCUUUGGUCUGAUAGUGGAGUUCAUGAACUCUAUAGAACCCUUCAGCAUUAGCACUCAUUCCUUCACUAUGCAAAGCUCAAAUAUAUACACUGAGUCUAACUAUGGCAUUUGGAGUGAGUUGAUGAAGAUAAAUUUCAAAUCACUUUAAAAUUUCACCGACCAUCAUGUAUAGAUGGAACGUAAGCCCAACCCAGAAGAAGCUUUUGAAAACUAUAACUUCAUCAUCCUUUGGUUCUGGGAUAACUUUGUCCCCAGCAAAUCUUAUCAGUCCAUCGUCAUUCUUCCCAAAAUACCCAAGCUUCUUCAUUAAAACUAUGUCUUCUGCUUUUACAAUAGAUUUUCCAAAUUCAACAUGACUGGGCUUGCUUGGACUCAAGAUACCAUCGUCUACCUCAUCAUCACUACUAGCUUCGGCAUCAACAUUAUCAGCUUUGGCAUUAACAAUGUCCUUCUCAGGAAAAGAUCCUUCUCCCUCUUGAACAACCAAUCUAGAACGCUUCAUAACCUCCGAAAUUGGAGUUGUCUCAUUGGUCUCGAUCUCUCCACCCUCAUUUGUCAGUCUAGCAGUAGACCUAAUCCUAGCCAUUUGAGUUCUUAAGACGAAGCUAACUUUUGAUGCUUGUUCGAAGACUAGUAAACGAACGCACAGAGCUCAAACAACUUCGACUUUAGUAAAAAAAUUCAGUAGCACAACGAUGCGAUAGCAUGGAAUGUUGUAAUAACUUCUUACCAACCAAUCUAUUUAUAUAGUCCUACUGGUGAAGAAGGAGAACCGCCGUGCCACUCAUACUAACUUAUCGUUGGACCAACACAGGUCAUAACUUUUUUAUUCGUUUUUUAAUAACAACCACAGAGAAGGUGUUUUUCGGACCUUCGACAUUUAGAAGCCUUUGUGUGUUUCGCGGAUCAAGCUCAUUAUGAAAAACGACCUAGCACCGCAAAGGGCUACUGUUGGGAUCUCCUUCUCUACCGAUGGUCCUCAAGAUGAAAAAACCAUUUGUAAUUUUUUUGACAAAGAUAUGUCAAAGGAACUGAGUGCCAAAGCUGUAACAAACACGAAGGAAAUGCAGCGAAGGUGAUAUAUGAAAUCAAGCCAGCAAUGGAAAGACAUGUUUAUCCUUGAUAUUUGUAUUUGAGUAAUGUAUAGAUAUCAGGGUCAUAAUUGUACUUUUUCUUGCGCUGCAUCCCAUGCCUAUAAAUAGAUGAACAGUACCCACGUACUAUUCACGCUCGAUCGAGAGGUUGUAUUUGUAUUCUCUCCUUCGUGCAAGCCGAAGGUACAAAUGUAAUAUAUAUAACUUGUAUCACUUUAUUAAAAUAUAAUACCAAUCUUGACAAUAUUGUGACAUGCGAUAUGAAGUGAAUGAUGCUAAUAAUAUUACAUUGUAAUAUUAUUCCUAUGAAAUAUGAAGACUUGUUCUUCAUGACCUUCAUCUAAUAUUCAUUAUCUUUUGAAGAGGAUAAUGUUUCGAAGGACGAAGGUCCUUAACAUUUGACAUUUGUGUUGCCUUGUUUUUUAUUCGCAGCAAUAGAAAACAAGUAACCAACACUAACAUCUUUUUGGACGAGUUGCAUAGCAUGCCACCAGAACGAGACAUAGAGUUUGCCAAAGAGUUGGAACCGGGUACUGCACCUAUCUCAAAAAGGCCCUAUAGAAUGCCGCUAGUCGAACUGACCGAGUUGAAGAAGUAGUUGCAAGAAUUGUAGGACAAAGGUUUCAUCCAACCAAGUACUUCAACUUGGGGAUGUCCGGCCAUGUUCUUAAAGAAGGAUGAAAGCUUGAGGUUGUGCAUAGAUUAUCGCCCUCCCAAUGUGGUGACUGUCAAAAAUAAAUAUCCUUGCCUCAUAUCGUUGUUCUUUUUGAUCAAUUAGUUGGAGCUAAAGUGUUUUCCAAAAUAAACCUUUGCUCUAGCUAUCAUCAAAUUAUGAUCCAGGCAAAUGAUUUUCUAAAGACAGCUUUCUCAACCAGAUAUGGGCUCUGUGAGUAUCUGGUGAUCUCUUUCGAACUUACUAAUGCACCAGCAUACUUCAUGUACCAGAUGAAUUUAGUAUUCAUGCCUUAGAUGGACAAAUUCGUGGUGGUAUUUAUCGAUGACAUAUUGGUGUAUUCCAAGAGAGAAGAAGAACAUGUCAAGCAUAUUCGUAUAGGGCUUCAAUGCCACGAGAUCAUCACUUGUAUGCCAAGUUCUCCAAAUUUGCCAUCUGGUAAAGGAAAUCAAAUUCUUAGGCCACACGGUCCCCCAGGAAGGAAUAUUUGUUGAUCAAGAUAAGGUGCAAGAGGUAAUGCAUUAGAAUUCCACGACCACUAUUCACCAAAUUUAGAGUCUUCUGAAAUUAGCUGGAUAUUAUAGCUGCUUUAUUUUAGAUUUCUCUAGGAUCGCCAAGCCCAUGACAGAACUGCUAAAGAAGGGGGUUUAGUUUGAAUGGAGCCAAAAGUGUGAAGAUGCCUUCCACACCUUAAGGCAAUACCUAACCACCGCACUUGUAUUAUCUUAGCCCGAUAAUUCCAAGCCCUUCGAUGUGAAUUGUGAUGCUUCAGGCGCUGGACCUGGUUGUGUUCUCAUGCAAGACAACUAGGUUAUUGCUUAUGCAUCACGAGCACUCAUAUGUUAUGAGCAGAACUACCCAUUACAUGAUUUAGAGCUAGCAACAAUAGUACAUGCUCUAAAAAUUUGGAGACAUUACCUGAUGGGAGCUCAUUGCAAUAUUUAAAAUGACCAUAAGAGUCUCAAGUACAUCUACACUCAAGAUGAUCUCGACAUGAGAAAAGAAGAUAGUUAGAAUUGAUCAAGGAUUAUGAACUGGAAGUGCACUUUCACCUUGGAAAAGCUAACAUGGUAGCAGAUGCAUUGUACACACCCCGUCUAAUCCCGAACUGACGGUACUUACUCCUGGCAGCUCUCUAGGAUCAUAUAUUGUCCCCACAGACCAACACGGGUCUUUUGUGCGGACUUUGUCCUCACUCAUGUGCACCCGAGAAAACUUCUCGGUCGGUCACCCAUCCCAAAUUGCUCCAAGUCAAGAACGCUUAACUUGGAGGUUCUUUUGAAAUAGGCUUCUGAAAAAGAAGAUGCACAUUGUUGGUACGAGUACACUAUUAAUUCUAUUAAGCCUUGGACCAGGAUAUCACCAUCCUAGGGGCGAGGAUAUCAGAAUCCACCCCCCUUAAAAGACCGACGUCCUUGUUGGUCAACCCAAAUCCAGGAACCUCCCCUCUUAGCCAUGUCGGUGUAUCUAGUGUCGUCAUAUUCCAUGCCCUGUGACCACUCCGGGCCCACAUGCACCAUAUACCUGAUCCCUUAACCCAACACGCCCGUGAAACCGUGAGGGUCGACUCUGAUACCACUUGUAACACCGCGUCCAAUCCCAGACCAAUGGUACUUACUCCUGGCAGCUCGCUAGGGUCAUAUAUUGUACCCACAGACCAACACGGGUCUUUUGUGCGCACUUUGUCCUCACUCCUGUGCACCCGAGAAAACUUCUCGGUCGGUCACCCAUCCCAAAUUGCUCCAAGCCAAGAACACUUAACUUGGAGGUUCUUUUGAAAUAGGCUUCUGAAAAAGAAGAUGCACAUUGUUGGUAUGAGUAUACUAUUAAUUCUAUUAAGCCUUGGACCAGGAUAUCACCAUCCUAGGGACGAGGAUAUCAGAAUCUACCCCCUUAGAAGGUCGACAUCCUUGUUGGUCAACCCCAAUCCAGGAACCUCCCCUCUUAGCCAUGUCUCAGAGUCUAGUGUCGUCGUAUUCCAUGCCCUGUGACCACUCCGGGCCCACCUGCACCAUAUACCUGAACCCCUAACCCAACACGCCCGUGAAACCGCGAGGGUUGGCUCUGAUACCACUUGUAACACCCGUCCAAUCCCGGGGGCUGCUCAUGACCGUGAGCUCUGCUAGUAUACCAUUUUUACACUCUACUGAGGUUGUACCCUGUACCCACAAGUCAUGUUACCCAUCUGCCCCAGGGUUGUACGGGCCCCAUACACCUCUACCAAGGAAGCGAGGUAGGGUAACACUACAAGGCCUUUACAAAGUUCCACUAGCUUCCAAAAACCUGCUACAGUUUCUAGGAAGAGCAAUUGCAGGAAUCUCUCAUCUGACCGCCAUCGUAGCAAAAUCAACCCGAGAACCUCCGUACAUGCCUACUCCCCUACUGCCCUUGCCCCUUUCGAGUAAGGUAAUCUUCCACUAGCUUUCCUAAUUAGUCAGCCAAGGGUGUCCCAUUCCACCCUUAUGGUGGCACACGUUUCUCAAGUUAAGCUCCAUGUUCGAAUUAAAAUUAAUGAUCUUGACAUGAACAUAAACAACAUAACAGAAUAAUUGGAACAUGGAUAUAAUGAAAUAUUAUCCCAAAACCAUAUAAAGCAUUAGCAAAACUACCCAAAUGAUUCAGGGAUAAACAAGGUAAAAGAAUAAACAGUCUAGGGUGACCUAUUGGGUCCCAUCAAAAUUAAACCAAUGCAUGAAUAAGUGAUAUUAAAGAACAUUAUUAGGUAAAAAGUGGUCAUGGGCACAACUUACCUUCAAUGAGCUCCUGCUCAGCAACUUCUACCUGUUGAAACCCGAGAUCCUCUGCCACUGGCUCUUCUACUCGCCACAAUACAAACAAGCAUAAUAUAAAGGUGAAAUUAACAUCACGCCAAACAUGUAAACAAAAUACACAUUAAUAAUCUACAUAUUAAAAUAAGAUCACAGGAACAUGAAUCAUUAAUUUUGGAGUUAUAGGUUUCAAGUUAUGAAUUUCCAAAGGUUUUAUGUGCUUGGUAUAAGAUUGAUUAAGAAAUCAAUUUUAUUGUUGUUUUCAUGUUAAAACAGAGACACUAGGUGAUGAACAAUAAUACUACAAAAUUAUAGAAACUGGAAUGGAUCAAUUUGGACUUAAUAGGAAUUUUCUAGGGUUUAAACAAGUUUCUGCAAUUAAUUUAAUACUAAAAUCAUUUUCUAAUUGAUUUUCUUAGGUUUUCUAUUUCUCUGGUCGCGCACAAAAUAAAACUGAAAGCCAAGGGUUACAGCGCAAGAAAUCCCAAGACUCAGGGCAUUAUGCGCAGUACUGUGGGUUGAAUCUCAAUAAACCCAGGGGCUCUUAGGUUAAAUAGCCACAACGAAGGGGUAUCAGCAAUUCUGAGCCGACCGAUUAGACUUUAGUGGCCCAGAUUAGAUCUGCGCGGAUAAAAUCAGAGCGUCGCAGAUAACCAUCUGAUUGAGAACCAACGGCAAGGAUUUAAUGUAACAAUGACCUGCCCUCUACAACCGGAUUUCGUAUCAACGGUCGCAAACCGUUCCAGCCGAAACGCUCCGCUAGGUUUAACCACGGAUGCAGGAUAAGGAUCUAACGGUCGAUGCGGUUUUCAAAUCUUAGUCGCACAUAACUAAUCACAUGGCUGGGCGUCCCUCUCCUACCUCACGCCCAGAGCUAACCAGAACGCCCGCGCCUACGCCGAAGAUCUCGUCGGCGUGCGGCUAAACGGCUACCCAGCGCAUAAUAAUCUGAUCAGUCGGUGCCACACGAAGAUGGAGAGAAGGAGAAUUUGUUGGUGGUGCCCAAACCUCGAGAUAAGACGGUGUCGGCCCCGAUUACGCACAACGGCGAAAUAGCGGCGGUCCGCGACCCCGGCGAGGGAAAUUCCAGUAGCCUGCGGUCGCGCCUCGAGCGUCCAUGUCUUGAAUUGCCCUCGGAGGUCGACGACGAACUUCACCACGCAGUACAAGGCCCCAGCCGACGGCUGUCGGUGUUUGGAGCCCGACCGCGCACCCGGAGUUACCCCUCGUGGUGCUUUUGGGUAGGAUGGUGUUGUUGACUGUAACUCAAUGGUUCGUGCGAGACGCACGAGAGACGGUAGGCGAUUUUCUACAGGUUCGGGCCGCUUUGAGAUGCAUAACACCCUACUUCCUGGUAAGGAUCUUUAUGUGGUGGGUUACAAGGGAAGUCUCCAGUAUGGAGAAAGCUAGUGAGCUGAGUAGAUGGUUCAUGAAUCUGAUGGGGUACCCCCUAGGCCUUAUAUACUAGAAAAUUCACUGAUAUGGCAGGUCUGGUAGAGGCGGUUACAGUAAUCUCAACUUCAAAUCUUUCCCCUUUGGAACUGGUAAGUUCUACGAUUCCCUUAUCAUAGUGUAUAACUGCUUUAGCUUUCCUUAACCAGGACAUCUCGAGUAUCAGAUCUAUACUGCUUUCUUCUAGUACUAUGGGUGUAGACCGGAAUUCCCUUCCCAUAAUUGUCAGUGUUAAUCUUUGUGUCAUAUAGUUUGCUUCAAUAGACCCUUUAGGUGUAAUUUCUACCAUAGGUGUUUUCAUGUUUUGCAGUGGUAAUUCAUUGGUAAUUGCAAAUCGAGCAGACAUAAACGAAUGUGUAGCUCCAGAAUCAAAUAAUAAUGCUGCUGGAAUUGCAUUAAUGUAAAAUAUACUGAUAGCGAUGUCUGCACCAUCAGUAGUGGCCUCAGCACUGGCUUGAUUAACCCUAGCAAUGCUGAAUCCCUUGCCAGGAGUCUGUUGCUUGUUCUGUGCUGAUGCACUAGAAUUCCCCGCUGGACAAGCAUUAGCAUAAUGCCCAACCUGACUGCACUUGAAGCAUGUAGGGCCUGUCUUCUGUCCUAUAGGCCUUGUCGGGGUGCCAGUGGGGGCAGCCUGACGAGUGGGAGGUGUUCGUGGAGACCCCUGUGGAGUGUACUGAGCUGGGCGUGGUCCUCCUCCUGGACGAGUUGGUGUACCCUGUGACGGAACGUAGCGAGGAUGAACACUAUUGAUUUGUAAUACCCACUUUGUAAGAAAAUCUAAAAGGAGAAAUUAUAUUCCUUUAUAUACAUAUGUGCCAUCUCUAUUUAUCAUUUCAUGUGGACACCUCACUUAAACAAAUAAAUGAUUAACAAAGGACACCACUAAGUCAUGCAUCAUGCUGGUUUUUCAUUUUGUGUGCAUUUUGUGGCAAUGUGACAAUAAUGUAAAAAUAAAUAUGAUAAUACCCAAAUUAGAAUUUAAAUUCUAAAGAAAAUUCUAGAAUUGAAACAAGAGAAUGAAAUACCUACAUAUAAGAUCAAAUAAAUAUAUAAGUUAAUCAAAUCAGCUUCAUAUUGGUAUUUGGAAUUAUACAAUUGAUUUAAGUAUGAACUUCACACUUAUAAAUUCAAAUUUGGGAUUUAAAUUUGAACUUAAAAGACAAAAGAAAAGGGAAAGUAGAAAUAUAAAAUAAAAAUAAAAAGAAAAAUGAAUAAAGCGCCUAACUGGGCCCUGACCUCAUUUUCGGCCCAGUACACAAACUCCCCCGCACGGCCUAGUUUUCCUCCUAGCACCCAGCGCUAACAUGCGGACCCCGUGGGUCAAUCCCUACGCGCGCGCGUGCGUCUAACGUCCCGCCGUUAAGUGGGCCCCCUCUGUCAUCAGACCCCCGUUUCUUCCGCUCGGCUUGCGUGUCACUAGCACUGGGGCCCACUAGGCAGUCUCUGGACCACCGUGCACGACUCCGUCUUCCCCGCACUCCCCACCUCUGUAAUAGAUCGCACAGUGCUCGCCGCCAUUAUCGGGGGAGCGUGGGCGACCUUCCCCCAUCCUAUGUCGGGUGUGCGGGAGAUAAAUUGAUGCCCUCUGCGCCCUUCUCCACUUCCCCGUCUACCUCGCGCCGACCCUAGCCAUCUACUGCUACUGCCCGACGGCGCCGCAACAUUAGUCCACCAGCGCUGCCGUGGACUCGCACCUACACCGCCGCUCUAGGGUUCACGAGUGGUCUGGGGGUUCGCCUGAGUUGGGCGGUUGUUUUGGUGGCGCGGUGGAAUUGGGAGAUCGACUGUGGCACCAUCGAUUCCUCGUUGGAGCCGCGUACUCAUGGCGGGGCCACCAUUCGUCAUGGGGGGAGGUCUACAUAGCUUGAUUACAGGUAUGGCACACCUCGUGAAGUUCGCCUCGUCGUCCUUCAUGCGUAGUGUGGCGGAGCUGCUAGAAUUAUUCUGACUUAAGUGCCUAGGUCCCACCUUAGAGGCUAGACCACACUUAAAUGGGAAUAACCCGUCAAUCCCUCGGAUCUAGUCCGACGAGGCCACUGACAGGAUCAAGUACCACAAUCUCAUUCGAGGGUGAGUCACAGAGCAAAUACAAUAAAACGUAAAACCAUACAUUAAGGAAUAUUAAAUUAUUACAUCACCAUCGGAGUUUUGCAAAAGUAGUCAUCAUUGUUCGAAGUGCAGCGGAAUAAAACUAACGAUAGAUAAAUGGAGGGAUGGGGAAGCCUGUCCCAUCACUCCUCAUGCUCCUGUUCAGCCGAGGCGAGGUCCCACUCGACAGUCCAACCCAGUGGCAAGAUGGACGACCAAGUCACUCCAGCAACCAUGUCCUCCAAAGAACCUGUAAAAUUGUGCCACAAGCAAGGUUGAGUAUACUAAUACUCAGCUAGACUUACCCGGUGUGAGGAGUCUACUGCUCUACCUCUAGACAUGCAGUUGUUUGGAUGUGGGGUUUGGUUGCCAAAAGCACUAGCUGAGUUCUAAAUCAAGUUUUAGCUUCGUCAAAUUUAAGUGUGACUCUCUUAAGGCUAAAUAUGUACUAUCUACUCAUACAUAGUAGCAAACAUUUUUAGCAAUCAACAUCUUGUAUCAACUCAUCAUAUUUCCACUUGUUACUCAGUGCAGUACAAUGGAUCAAGAAGUCUCAUUAGCUGCGAGAAGCAGACGAUUCGAAUCGAGUUUUUAUCCUUGCAAGGUAAACCUAAACACACGACAUGGUGAGGCACUCCGUCCCCACACACAUCAACCGUCCCCAUCGAUUCCCCGUCAGCAGAGAGGGGCUGACCUCCUUGGCGUACAAUGCCUCACUGACCCCGACUGCCGUCGUGCAGUAACCGCACUUGUACCCACCAUAACCAGAAUGGGAGACCACGUCUCAGGUCGCAUGAGGAGGGCAAUCUGCUGCCAGGUUCAAUCAGGUACUAGGCUUACCGAUUUACCAUAUUUCUCGGUAUGUGUUUAGUACGUUCAAAUGCUUGACACAGGUAUCCGCACGUUAAUCCUUAUUCCAAUUUCCCGUCUCGUAGACAACCAAUCCCCAUGGAUUGUUGUCCACAGACUAGUAUCAUGAUGAUAUGAAAGUGGAUACAACCAAUUCCUGAUCUCGCGCGAGUGCUAGAAAAAUCACUCGUCUUCUACCGAGAUCCUAAUUAAAUAAAGCAGCUACUCGACCUAGCAUACUAGUAUUCAUCUCAAAAGGAAUCCUGAGAUCAUGCAACUAGGGUUUCAGUCAACUCCUACACCUAAGUGCACAAUCGAUCCUACAAUCAUUAAGUAUAAUAAAAUAGCAUAAGUAACAGGUUAUGCAUAAACCGGGGCUUGUCUUCCAAGGCAGUGGCAGGCAGAUCCUCUGGUGCAGGCUCUGGUGCUGGAUCCGGGGCUACCUCCUGAGCAGCUCCUUGCUCCGGCACGAGGACGUACUCUCCGUCAGCGAGGUUACAGUCUAUCGAAAUGCAAUGAAUAUGUAUGUCAUGAUUAUGCAGGAUUUAAUAACAUUAUGCUAAAGGAAGAAAAACUAAGUUAGUUUGCAACUUAGGGUUUCUUGGUCAUACAAGGCUUUUAGUGGUUUAUGCUUAUCACUCCAGGUUUAGGUUUUGUUAAGGAUAAGCAUAGUGGAUUGGUAUUUCCUUUAUAUAUUUCAGUGGACAAUUUACAAAGGGUUUUAGGAUGACACUAAUUUCCAUUAUUCAUUUUCCCUUUCUUUAUUUUCUAUUUAUGAAUUCUAGUGUAGGUUUGAACUACAACAGUGAAUUAACUCUUUCCAAAAAUUCUGUAAAAAUUUCAGUGGCUUGCCAUUGGUCAAUAUAGCCUGUUCUAGGAAUUUGAGGUUCAAAAUAAAAAAGGCUAUGCUCUAGACAAAAAUAACAAAAGUUGUGUAAAUGGGCCACUUUGCAUUACAACUCUUAAUUAGGGGUGGGUUCUGUCCUAAGGGUUAUUUUUGUUGGCAUCUAACAGUAAUAAUAAGCUUCUGUGCCAAAAAUCACAGAAAGCUAAGGGAUGGUUAUUUAGUUGUGAUUUUCCAAAGUUUAAUGCCAAAAAGGCACUUUCCACUACCUUGUUAUUUGAAAAAUGUCAAACAGCAGAUUUCAUAUUUUUCCUAUGUUCUUCAUAACAAAAGAUUAACUAUUCCAAAGGUUGGGGUGUUUUCACCUUGGGGUUAUUUUUGUAGGGUUUUUCUAAGUUUUCCUUAUUUUCUUAAAAUAAAAGGUAUCCUAUUUAUUUUAUACUAAACCAGGGUAUAAUCAAUUUUUCUAGUAAACUAUACUGAACAAGUAUACUAACAAAAAUAUGGGGGCUCCCUGGUUCUUUAUUUAAAUCACCUUUCGUAUUUUCUUUAACCUUAAGCAUAAUGUAAAAUAUAUGGCAAACUCUACCUCAAUGGGGUGUAUAGAGGGGUUUAGCAUUUUUAAAUAGGUCAGUAGGUGGUCAUGCACUUCUCCAAAUUUUGUUAACCUCAGUUAAAUAGUGCAACUAUUUUUCUUCCUAUUAUUUAGCUUUUGGCCAAAUCAGUAUUUAAUUUAGAAUCCUAAAGUUUUCUGUAGCACAUAGGGGUUUUAUAUUUUGCUUCAGUAGUUUAUAUUAUUUAAGAUCUGACAAAAUUGGUUUGAGUCAAUUUGGAUGAAUAAAACAGAAGAUAUGAAUUGUUCAAGUGCUGUUUUUAUUUUAAAUCAGAUUUAAUUAAAGGUUUCCUGGAAAACCACUUUGCACCGAAGUCCUUGGGUUAUUUCCAAACUAACUCUCUCAGUUAUACCCCCGCGCUACUAUUCAUCCGAGUCACUGACAUUGCGCAAAACCCCAUAGCUUUCUCUUCUUCUCCCCCGUGGUCCCUCCCUAGGUUUAAAUAGUACCCGCGAGAAGAAAAGGGUGGUGCGGCUUACCGGCGGCGAGAGAGGUCCGGCGAGGUUGGCUCCGGGAGGUUCUGGCGGUCACAAUGGUGUACAGCUUGACGGCGGGGGUGGCCGGAAUCGCCCGGUCCACGUGCGCAGGCGGGUGCUCUCGUCGGCGGUGGGAGCUCUGGCCAAACCACGGCGAUCUAGUUCAAUCCAAAGGCACAGUGAGCUUCACGGGAUGACGUAGAGGCUGUGUGCACAAGGAAUCGAAGAAUGGAGUAGAGGAUUACCCGGUCUACGCUCGCGGGCGGUCGGAUGGAGUCCGGCGACCGUGGACUGGCCUCUCCGGCGAAGCAAACUCCGAUUCCUCGCUCGGGGAGCUUCAGCAAGGUGUGCUCAGUCUUCUCCGAGGGCUGGACAGGGUUGGGAAGGGUCCUGUUGGCCGGUCUACGAUGGCAGGGGGAUCGGGCGGCCGCGGACACGCUCUGCACAGGCAAACGCCGGUGGGGUUGGGCUCCGGUGAGGUCGAGCGCGUGCGGAGGGGUACGGUCAAGGUCCCUGGGGGCUUUAUAGGCGCGGGCGCGGGCCAUGGCACCGGCUGGGCUUUGGCGCGACGCGGGGCACGCGGGGCGCGCGUCGGGCGUGCUCUAGCGAGCCCAGAGUGCGUCGAACACGUGACCAUUGCUUUCUGCCCUUGUUCUUGCGCCUGCUGAGCAGCCAAACGUGUGAAUCUCGCCCUAUGGCUUGUGUAAGAUUUCUUCCCUGCACCUAGGGCUACCUAGUUCAUGUAAGUUCCAAGGGAAGAUCGGGUCUGGUUUAGAAGAUAUGGUGGCGCCAAGUCUUGUCUGUCUGCACUGUUCAACCCGAGACAAAACAGGUGCCAACUCAUGUCAAACGGUCUUGGCUUGGGUUCAAACUCUUCUAGGGGGUUCCUUAGAUAAUUUAGGUCCUUUUUGCUAUUUAUACCCUGGGGUUUUGGUGCCAUUAGCUAGGUGAACACCCCUGAUCUCUAGAUUAGGGCUGAUUUUGGACUUAGAGGGAAUGGGUGUGAUUCCAUAGUGUUCUCUACUUGGGGGCUGAUUUAGGGGUCUUAUAGGGGUCUUUUUGUAAAGUUCCUUUGUUGUCUUUUGUAAACAUUUUGGUACUCUUAAACUUUGGUUAAGGUUUAAAUUAUGAAAUGUGCAUUUGCCUAAUCUUUCUCUCAACUAAAGGCUUCAAGAGAGAGGGGGUCCAAGGUUCAAUCCUCCCUUGCCCUAGGUGAUCAUUGCCUAAAAGCUUGGGUAAUACUUUGGUCCUUGGCAUUUCUUAACUCACUCAUGCUUCCAAGGUCUUAAGUACUCCCUCUCCUCCAAGUUUUAACCACAUGUGAUAAUAGGUAUAUGUGCCAUUAGGAAGCCAACACCUUGGUAACACCUGGGGUGUUACAGCCCUCCCCCCUUAAAGGAAUCUCGUCCCGAGAUUUUAGGUAGAGUCCCUUGGAGGGGUGCCGUGAAGGUGUGUUGUUGUGCUACCCUUCCCUUUAUCCAAGAUUCUCUUGUUAACUGCUCUUCGAAUGUCAUUCUCUUUGCAACUUCAGAAGGAAGCCCUUUUUAAGUUAAAUCCACAACUUAGACUAUCCUUAUUAUCUAAGUUUUUCUUAUAAUUGUAUUCAAAGGGCAGGUGGGGGUGGGGUUUUAAGUUAUGUACCGACUCCUUUAGGCAGAAAGUCGGGGAAGCGAGGGCGUAGAAAAUCCUCAGUCUCCCAUGUAGCUUCUACUGAAUGGUGACUCCACUAAACCUUAUACAUUAUGAUCGACCUUGCCCGCGUUGACCUUUCUUUCUGAUCCAAGACCUUGAUGGGGUACUCUUGAUAGGACAGGUCUGGUUCUAUCUCAAUGUCUGGUUCAGGUAGCACUUCAGUAGGUAAGCGGACACAUUUCCACAGCUGAGAUACAUGAAACACAUCAUGAACAGCUGACAUGUGAGGUGGCAAUUCCAAUUGAUAGGCCACGGAUCCACAACAUGCUUUGAUCUCAUAGGGUCCAAUGUAGCGAGAAGCUAACUUGCCCUUGAUCCCGAAUCUCUGGACACCCUUAUCUUCAAUCUGUGCCCUGACUAUUUGCUCUUGUAAUGUGGGCUCCACCGAGAUAUAGUUUAAAUCACCUGAAGAAACAACUUCCAGGUUUAGCUUGCACAAUUCAUCACACAGGGUGGUAACUCUCGCAUCCAUGUUCAUACAAUUGCACUAGGCCUUUCUGCUCAAGGCAUCUGCCACAACAUUGGCUUUGCCAGGAUGGUAAUGCACCUCCAAAUCAUAGUCCUUGAUUAAUUCUAACCAUCUCCUCUGCCUCAUGUUCAGAUCCCUGAGUGAAAAUGUAUUUGAGGCUCUUGUGAUUAGUGUAAAUGUUACAGUGAGCUCCCAUCAGGUAGUGUCUCCAUAUCUUGAGAGCAUGAACCACAACUGCUAAUUCCAGAUCAUGUGUAGGGUAGUUCUGCUCAUGGGGUCUAAGUGCUCGGGAAGCAUAAGCAAUUACUCUGUUAUCUUGUAUUAAGGCACAUCCCAAUCCAGUACCAGAAGCAUCACAAUAAACUUCAAAGGGCUUGGUGUUAUCAGGUUGAGCCAGCACUGGGGCUGUUGUCAAAUGCUGCCUUAGUGUAUGAAAGGCAUCUUCGUACUUUUGGCUCCAAUUAUACUUAACUCCCUUCUUCAACAGUUUAGUCAUUGGCUUGGCAAUUCUAGAGAAAUCCGGAAUGAAUCGUCGAUAGUACCCUGCCAAACCCAGGAAACUCCGAAUCUGCCGCACUGUGGUAGGAGGUUUCCAAUCCAUUACCUCUUGUACCUUCUCAGGAUCAACAGAUAUCCCAUCCUGAGAAAUUGUGUGACCCAAAAAUUUAAUUUCCUUCAACCAGAAUUCACAUUUAGACAACUUAGCAUAAAGAUGAUGAUCGCGAAGUCGCUGAAGCACGAUGUGCAGAUGCUCAGCAUGUUCGUCCUCAUUCUUGGAAUAGACCAGAAUAUCAUCAAUGAAAACGACCAUGAACUUGUCCAACUCUAGCAUGAAUACUGAGUUCAUCAAGUACAUGAAAUAAGCCGGGGCAUUGGUCAGCCCAAAAGACAUCACCAAAAACUCAUAAAGCCCAUAUCUGGUUGAGAAGGCCGUCUUGGGAAUAUCGCUGGCACGGAUCUUGAUCUGAUGGUAACCCGAGCGAAGGUCUAUCUUGGAGAACACUUUGGCUCCCACCAACUGAUCGAACAAAACAUCAAUGCGGGGCAGUGGGUAUUUGUUCUUCUGUAAAGCCCAAAAUUGGUGUAAGAAAAAAAAACUAAUAAAAUAAAUAAAUAGAAAUAUUUAUAAGUGGGUGUUUUGAAGUUAUGAAACCCUUGGGGAUUAUUUGGUCUUCCUUUCCUUGUGCAUAUUCAACUAAAGGAAUUAAAGUAGUCAAAUGGCAAAUAAAUAAAUACGUGAAUGUGCAUUUCAUGCUGGAGAUCUUGUUUGAUUGCAUGUGUACUCAAAUUUUUGAGACAAGUUAAGUUUGAAAAGUAGAAUUUGUAACACCCAAUAAUACUAUUUUCGGAUUUAUGAAAAAAAUGCUCCCAAGGUUUUGAAUCAAAAUAUGUUCUAAUAAGAAUUUUCUUACCUACGAAACUACUCUUGAAAUAAAUGUGCUUCUAAUAGAAUAUUAAAUAAAAAAAUUCUUAUAUGAAUUAAAAUUACCCUAUGUAUAAUUAUAUAUAUUUAGGAAUAUUCACUAAAAUAUUUAAUAAAAAGUAUUUAUUCAUAAAGGAUCUACAUUAGAAAUUGUUACUUUUGUGUGCAUAAAUUAUAUAUUUAACGCAUUUUUCUUAAUUGAUUAAAAUAGUAAAUAAGUAAAUAGAAGUAUAUUUUUUCAUUCGUAUUGGAGAUUUUGAUUCUACAUUUUUUUAUAAAAAACUUCAACACAGAUUUAACGUGAAACAAAUGAAAUAGAAAAAAAUAAAACAGAAAAAAAACAAAAGAGAAUAAACAACGUGGCGUGUGCGUGAGAAUAAACAACCUGCCCACAACCACUUCUAUCGUUUUUUUUAUUUUAUUCUCCAGCCAGACGUUUGCAUGUCUGCACGUAUUUUCUCUCUGUCCGUUGAAAUCGCUGGCAGUUGGAGACAAUUUGUCAGGAUAUUAUUCUCCCUUCGUCGUAACAGACCGCACACAUAUAUCGGCAAGUUCUGUUGAUCGCGCUGUUAACCAUAGCUAUCUGAUCUCUUCUUCUUUGGGUAUAAAUAUUUUGGAUGCCUCGUUUCCACGCCAUCUGCGCAGAACCUGCUAGCAUCCACCGAGAGCAAGGUCACAGCCACCAAUACCGCCACGAACUCGCGCUUAGUGAGAGAGACCGUGGGAGCAGGAAUUGCCGUUCCUGUUUCUUGGAAUUCUUCUCCCGUUCAGGCGUUCAUCCCUCUUUCUCUCCUGGCGACGAAGACGGCCGACGCCCUAUGCCAGGUGCCAUGUUCCGUCGGGUCCAUGGUGGGAAGCUGCGGCAAGCAAGUCUUCCCUCGCGAACCCGCUCGGCCAUCGCUUAACCAUCCGGUGAGACACCCCCUUCGUAACCGCCUUGCUUCGAUUUCGUUUUCGCGCAUCACCAUGGGAACGUUGUCACCGGAGCUAGCGAAUUUGGUGGCGCGCUGGUGAGGGCUCCGCUGGUUGGGGCGAUUCCCGGCCGUUGCUGCGCGUGAGGUUGAAGAGGGUACGGCUACCGUCCAUCUCGCGAUGGGCGUUUGUGAUUAAAAGCGAAUAUACUCCUUUGGUGAAGGGACCUGAGCCAUUGGAUAAGGAGUGGACGGGCAUGAUUGUGGAUGGACAGGGUCCGUUGGAUUGGAGUUGUAGGUUCAGGAUUAGAACUUUGUGUACCCCUUCACGUAUUUAAUCUGGACCAUCCGGAAUAGAUCGAACGGUCAGAAUACAACCGUAUCCCUUCGCCGAAGCUAGUUUACAAAAGAGCCCCUCUGUUUUAUUAGUAUUAACCCACCGUCCAACUCAGGGAUUUCUGAGUCUGCUUAAAUCUUGCGGGUUAGCCCCUGAUCUUUUAAGAAAUAUUGAGCUAGUCCAGAACACUUAGGAUAUUCAGAAAUUAAUAAAGAAAUAGGUUUUUAGUAUGAAAAUAAUUCUAUAAACUUGUAUAAUUCAUAGUUAAUUCAUUUUAGCUCCAAAUUGAGUCAUUCCAGUCUCUAUAAUUUUGUAUUAAUAAUGUUUAUCACCUAAUACCUUUGUUUAACCAUGAAACUUGAAUUAAAAUUGCUCAAUUGAAUUAAUCUAUUCUAGGUGCUAAAUAAUUUCAGAAAUUCAUAACUCAAUAAUCAUAACUCUGUUUUGAUCCAUUCUAGUUGCAUUAGUCUCACAAUAAUAUUUAUUAUUAUCUUGUAACUUUGUUUUGUCAUGAAAUAUAGGUUAAAAUGUUGCACUUAGUCUAUUCUAUAUUUAACCACGUGGAUCUUCAGAAAACCAUAACUUCAUAACCGUAGCCCCGAAUUUAGCGGUUCUCGAUCCCACGAUCUCGUAGCGACGCGUAGAUUAUUAUUACUCAGUUAUUCUUAUGUAUGGUGUAAUGUUAAUUUUGCCUAUGCCAUGUUUGUUUGUAUUGCUACGUUUAGCAGUGAGGCACGUGUCAUCUGAAGAGCAAGUGGUACCUGGAAUCUCAAGUGCCAAGCAAGUUGUGCCCUUGAUCACUUCUUUUACCCACUCAUGUUCUAAUUAAUCAUAAUGAUCUGCAUAGGUUAAUUUUGAUGGGACCUAAUAGGUUACCCUAGUUUGAUUAUCUUUAUACCUUGUUUACCACUGAACUUUUUGGGUAGUACUUGCUAGUGCUUUAAUGUGGUUUUGGGUAUGAAGAUACAUUAUUCAUGAUCACACUGUUAUUAUCUGUUUAUUAUUACUGUUCAUGAUAAGAUCAUUAUGUUAAUUGGAACAUGGAGAACCACCCGGGAAAACAGUGCUACCACAAGGGAGGAAUGGGACCCCUUGGCUGAUUAAUUAGGAAAGCUAGUGGAAGACUACCUUACCCGAAAGGGGCAAGGGCAGUAGGGGAGUGGUCAGUGUAGGGAGGCCCUCGGGAGGAUUUUGCUGCGAUGGCGGUCCUGCAAGGGAUUCCUGCAUUGGAGCUUCCUAUAAACUGUAGCGGGUUUUCUGAAGCUAGUGGAACUUUGUAAAAGCCUCGUAGUGUUACCCUGCCUCGCCUCCUCGGUAGAGGUGUAUGGGAAGUCGUGAUCCCUUGGCAGAUGGGUAACAUGACUUGUGGGUAAAGAUGCGCAACCUUUGCAGAGUGUAAAACUGGUAUACUAGCCGUGCUCACGGUCAUGAGCAGCUCGGACACUCACAUGAUUAAAUUAUGGAACUUAAACUCAAUUUGUCAUAUGCAUUACAUCGCAGGUGAGGUUGUUACUUUUGUUCUACUAUUUAAAUGGGUUGGUAUUUACUUAUACUUAGUAAUUGCUAAUAAAAUUUUGACCAACUUUAAAAGCAAUGCUCAGCUUUAACCAUCCUCUUUGGUAAGCCUUACACUUCACGUGAGCUCCCACCUUUAGCGAGUUCAUGCACAUUAUUCCCCACAACUUGUUGGGCGAUGAACGUAUGUGAGCUCACUCUUGCUGUCUCACACGCCCCCACAGGUCAAGAGCAGGUACCACAGGAUGAGGCGCGUGGAGGAUGCUGUGAUGAGUUCGUGAGUGGUCUAGGCCGUCGUCUCCCAGUCAACUUUGGGUUGCUGGACCGUUGUCUCCUUAUAAUGUAAUUAUUUAUUUUGUAUAGAACUCCUGUUAUAUAUAAAGAUGUGACAUUCGAUCCUGUGCCACUAUACAUCAUAUGUGUGAGACUUGGUCCCAGCAUAUCUGGUGUUUAUGUUCGCGCCCGGGUCUUGGUGCCCCUAAAACCCGGGUGUGACAGAAGUGGUAUCAGAGGAAUGUUGACUGUAGGACGAAACCUAGAUAGAACUGGACAACCAUUGUCUACUUACCUUUGCUACUCUGAUUCUUUUCUAAACUUACCUUAAUCUUUUCUCAUCUAUUUCCGCUUUACUCUGAUUAUUCUUACCUUUUCCUUCUAAAGACAAAUGUGGAUUUCACACUUUGAAAUCCUGUGCCUAAAGUGACUUUUUGGAAUAGAAGACCUAAUCUUAGGAAAAAAAUAAAAACUAUUUUUGUAGGUAUCUAUAUACUUGAAUGUCUGUUCUUAUGAUACUUGUCUGAUUUGGAUCUUUGAUUGAGUGUGAUGGGUUGUGGAGUAAUGUCCACAAUUACAUCUGCAUAUACAUAUAGGAAAUAAAUGCUUAUAAAAAUAAGUAGACAAACUAAAUUAUUUCCUCAUUAAAGUAUCUAGCCUAACAAUACCCAUCUCAUCUUAAAAGAUUCUAUCCAUCUUAUCUCAAAAGAUUCUACCUUAUCCUUAUGGAUUCAUCUUGCCCUAAUUAGUAUAUUUAUUCCACUCUAGAAUAACAACCAUGAGCUAACCCAAAAUCUAUUUAGAUCUUAUCUAGUCUAAAAUAGUCAUAUCAAUUUAUUCUAGAUCUGAUCCAACCUAAUAGGUUAAUCUAACCUAACGAAGUCUAACCUUAAGUUGAGCUAACCUAAGGACGGUCACUUAACCAGUUAACACUAGUGAAAAAUUGGAUCCUACUCCUAUAAACCUUGUUCUCCCCUCACGCACUUAAACCUAAAUUAGUGCAUUAGAACAACUCAACUGUGAGCAUAAGAGCUAACCCAACCAUAGAAUCUUGAGGGAUUGCAUAAUCUGUCUACCCUCACCUGACAUCAAACAAGAUUUUGACCUAUAUCAUGUAGUCUAUAUCAUCCAUAUCUAUCUUAACCAUAUUUCCUAACUCCAAUGAUAUACACUAACCUCGAAUCAAUGAGGCCAAGACCGGAGAAGAAAAGGUCAACUUCGUCAAGGAAGGACAGAAGUCACACUAGAUCUUCCAAUGUGCCAGGAUCCACCUUUCGGGAUGGAGUCAAUUCUUUCCAUAACCUCUCUUGCCACAACAUGUUCUCACUCUAACCAUCUCCCAUCUUACCAAUUCGAUGGCUAGGCAAAAAAAAUUCUUUUGAUGUUGGGACCAAUUAGGAGAUAAAAGCUACAUUAUAAACCAAACUUCCUAUACUAAUCUCGAGGGCGAGAUUAUUUUUAAGGGGGGUAGAAUUUGUAAAGCCCAAAAUUGGUGUAAGAAAAAAAACUAAUAAAAUAAAUAAAUAGAAAUAUUUAUAAGUGGGUGUUUUGAAGUUAUGAAACCCUUGGGGAUUAUUUGGUCUUCCUUUCCUUGUGCAUAUUCAACUAAAGGAAUUAAAGUAGUCAAAUGGCAAAUAAAUAAAUACGUGAAUGUGCAUUUCAUGCUGGAGAUCUUGUUUGAUUGCAUGUGUACUCAAAUUUUUGAGACAAGUUAAGUUUGAAAAGUAGAAUUUGUAACACCCAAUAAUACUAUUUUUGGAUUUAUGAAAAAAAUGCUCCCAAGGUUUUGAAUCAAAAUAUGUUCUAAUAAGAAUUUUCUUACCUACGAAACUACUCUUGAAAUAAAUGUGCUUCUAAUAGAAUAUUAAAUAAAAAAAUUCUUAUAUGAAUUAAAAUUACCCUAUGUAUAAUUAUAUAUAUUUAGGAAUAUUCACUAAAAUAUUUAAUAAAAAGUAUUUAUUCAUAAAGGAUCUACAUUAGAAAUUGUUACUUUUGUGUGCAUAAAUUAUAUAUUUAACGCAUUUUUCUUAAUUAAUUAAAAUAGUAAAUAAGUAAAUAGAAGUAUAUUUUUUCAUUCGUAUUGGAGAUUUUGAUUCUACAUUUUUUUUAUAAAAAACUUCAACACAGAUUUAACGUGAAACAAAUGAAAUAGAAAAAAAUAAAACAGAAAAAAAAACAAAAGAGAAUAAACAACGUGGCGUGUGCGUGAGAAUAAACAACCUGCCCACAACCACUUCUAUCGUUUUUUUUAUUUUAUUCUCCAGCCAGACGUUUGCAUGUCUGCACGUAUUUUCUCUCUGUCCGUUGAAAUCGCUGGCAGUUGGAGACAAUUUGUCAGGAUAUUAUUCUCCCUUCGUCGUAACAGAUCGCACACAUAUAUCGGCAAGUUCUGUUGAUCGCGCUGUUAACCAUAGCUAUCUGAUCUCUUCUUCUUUGGGUAUAAAUAUUUUGGAUGCCUCGUUUCCACGCCAUCUGCGCAGAACCUGCUAGCAUCCACCGAGAGCAAGGUCACAGCCACCAAUACCGCCACGAACUCGCGCUUAGUGAGAGAGACCGUGGGAGCAGGAAUUGCCGUUCCUGUUUCUUGGAAUUCUUCUCCCGUUCAGGCGUUCAUCCCUCUUUCUCUCCUGGCGACGAAGACGGCCGACGCCCUAUGCCAGGUGCCAUGUUCCGUCGGGUCCAUGGUGGGAAGCUGCGGCAAGCAAGUCUUCCCUCGCGAACCCGCUCGGCCAUCGCUUAACCAUCCGGUGAGACACCCCCUUCGUAACCGCCUUGCUUCGAUUUUUUUUUCGCGCAUCACCAUGGGAACGUUGUCACCGGAGCUAGCGAAUUUGGUGGCGCGCUGGUGAGGGCUCCGCUGGUUGGGGCGAUUCUCGGCCGUUGCUGCGCGUGAGGUUGAAGAGGGUACGGCUACCGUCCAUCUCGCGAUGGGCGUUUGUGAUUAAAAGCGAAUAUACUCCUUUGGUGAAGGGAUCUGAGCCAUUGGAUAAGGAGUGGACGGGCAUGAUUGUGGAUGGACAGGGUCCGUUGGAUUGGAGUUGUAGGUUCAGGAUUAGAACUUUGUGUACCCCUUCACGUAUUUAAUCUGGACCAUCCGGAAUAGAUCGAACGGUCAGAAUACAACCGUAUCCCUUCGCCGAAGCUAGUUUACAAAAGAGCCCCUCUGUUUUAUUAGUAUUAACCCGCCGUCCAACUCAGGGAUUUCUGAGUCUGCGUAAAUCUUGCGGGUUAGCCCCUGAUCUUUUAAGAAAUAUUGAGCCAGUCCAGAACACUUAGGAUAUUCAGAAAUUAAUAAAGAAAUAGGUUUUUAGUAUGAAAAUAAUUCUAUAAACUUGUAUAAUUCAUAGUUAAUUCAUUUUAGCUCCAAAUUGAGUCAUUCCAGUCUCUAUAAUUUUGUAUUAAUAAUGUUUAUCACCUAAUACCUUUGUUUAACCAUGAAACUUGAAUUAAAAUUGCUCAAUUGAAUUAAUCUAUUCUAGGUGCUAAAUAAUUUCAGAAAUUGAUAACUCAAUAAUCAUAACUCUGUUUUGAUCCAUUCCAGUUGCAUUAGUCUCACAAUAAUAUUUAUUAUUAUCUUGUAACUUUGUUUUGUCAUGAAAUAUAGGUUAAAAUGUUGCACUUAGUCUAUUCUAUAUUUAACCACGUGGAUCUUCAGAAAACCAUAACUUCAUAACCGUAGCCCCGAAUUUAGCGGUUCUGGAUCCCACGAUCUCGUAGCGACGCAUAGAUUAUUAUUACUCAGUUAUUCUUAUGUAUGGUGUAAUGUUAAUUUUGCCUAUGCCAUGUUUGUUUGUAUUGCUACGUUUAGCAGUGAGGCACGUGUCAUCUGAAGAGCAAGUGGUACCUGGAAUCUCAAGUGCCAGGCAAGUUGUGCCCUUGAUCACUUCUUUUACCCACUCAUGUUCUAAUUAAUCAUAAUGAUCUACAUAGGUUAAUUUUGAUGGGACCUAAUAGGUUACCCUAGUUUGAUUAUCUUUGUACCUUGUUUACCACUGAACUUUUUGGGUAGUACUUGCUAGUGCUUUAAUGUGGUUUUGGGUAUGAAGAUACAUUAUUCAUGAUCACACUGUUAUUAUCUGUUUAUUAUUACUGUUCAUGAUAAGAUCAUUAUGUUAAUUGGAACAUGGAGAACCACCCGGGAAAACAGUGCUACCACAAGGGAGGAAUGGGACCCCUUGGCUGAUUAAUUAGGAAAGCUAGUGGAAGACUACCUUACCCGAAAGGGGCAAGGGCAGUAGGGGAGUGGUCAGUGUAGGGAGGCCCUCGGGAGGAUUUUGCUGCGAUGGCGGUCCUGCAAGGGAUUCCUGCAUUGGAGCUUCCUAUAAACUGUAGCGGGUUUUCUGAAGCUAGUGGAACUUUGUAAAUGCCUCGUAGUGUUACCCUGCCUCGCCUACUCGGUAGAGGUGUAUGGGAAGUCGCGAUCCCUUGGCAGAUGGGUAACAUGACUUGUGGGUAAAGAUGCGCAACCUCUGUAGAGUGUAAAACUGGUAUACUAGUGUGCUCACGGUCAUGAGCAGCUCGGACACUCACAUGAUUAAAUUAUGGAACUUAAACUCAAUUUGUCAUAUGCAUUGCAUCGCAGGUGAGGUUGUUACUUUUGUUCUACUAUUUAAAUGGGUUGGUAUUUACUUAUACUUAGUAAUUGCUAAUAAAAUUUUGACCAACUUUAAAAGCAAUGCUCAGCUUUAACCAUCCUCUUUGGUAAGCCUUACACUUCACAUGAGCUCCCACCUUUGGCGAGUUCAUGCACAUUAUUCCCCACAACUUGUUGGGCGAUGAACGUAUGUGAGCUCACUCUUGCUGUCUCACACGCCCCCACAGGUCAAGAGCAGGUACCACAGGAUGAGGCGCGUGGAGGAUGCUGUGAUGAGUUCGUGAGUGGUCUAGGCCGUCGUCUCCCAGUCAACUUUGGGUUGCUGGACCGUUGUCUCCUUAUAAUGUAAUUAUUUAUUUUGUAUAGAACUCCUGUUAUAUAUAAAGAUGUGACAUUCGAUCCUGUGCCACUAUACAUCAUAUGUGUGAGACUUGGUCCCAGCAUAUCUGGUGUUUAUGUUCGCGCCCGGGUCUUGGUGCCCCUAAAACCCGGGUGUGACAUCUUGAUAGUCACCGCAUUGAAAGGGCGGUAAUCAACACACAUUCUCAAACUCUCAACCUUUUUCUUCACAAAUAAAGCAGGACAUCCCCAUGGUGAAGUACUUGGGCGAAUAAACCCCUUGUCCAACAACUCCUGCAGUUGCUUUUUCAAUUCUGCCAAUUCCACGGGAGGCAUCCUAUAGGGCCUCUUGGAGAUAGGAGCAGUCCCGGGUUGCAACUCAAUGGCGAACUCAAUGUCUCUAUCGGGUGGCAUUCCCGGCAAUUCAUCUGGAAAAUCAUCUGGGUAGUCACAAACCACUGGGAUCUUUUCCACUGGGGAUUCUAUCAUAACGAAAGCACAAGAACGGGUACAACCCUGAUCAGGCAAAUAUAAAACAGUCUCGCCAUAAGCAGGGGAGUGAAUUUCAAUGGCCCUCGCUGCAAUAUCCAAUACUGCCUGAUGCCUAGUCAACCAGUCAGUUCCCAAUAAAAUAUCCACGCUAUCCAAUCAUAAGAUGAGAAGGGUGGUUCUAAUCACAAGACUACCAAAUUUUUUAGGCACUUGCCUAUUGAUUUGGUAGGUGGCAACCCUGCCUCCUGGUGUUGAAAUUGUGAUACCCCCAUUGGUGUGGUGAAAAGGUAACUGGCACUUGGCACUAAAUUUGGCACUGAUAAAACUAUGUGAUGCACCAGAAUCAAAAAGAAUAAUAGCAGGAUAAUUCAAAACUGUAAAGAUACCAGUCAUGACGGGUGCUCCCUCUGGAAUAUCAGCCAUGGUGGUGAAGUUCAGUCGGCCUUGCCUCACUUGCACCUUCUGUCUCUUGCCUUGGUUCUGGUUAACAUUCUGCCCCUGCCUCUGCUGGUUUCUGGGGCAAUUCUUGGCAUAAUGUCCGGUGUUGCCACAUGUGAAACACCUGUUGUCAAUUGCCUGUUGAUACUGCUGCUGCUGUUGAUUGUUCCUCUGAGUUGGAAACUGGGUGCGGUUGGGUGCCUGCUGCUGCUGCUGUGGUCGGAUCACCCAACGUCCUUGCUGCUGCUGAGGUCCCCUGUUCUGAGUGUCAGACACAAUCCUGAAGCGCUAUGGCUGAGCUGAAGGUCCUGCCACAGGGGUCUUCCUUUUCUUUUCUGCCUAACGAGCUGUGAUACAGUCCUCCUGGGAGAUGGCCAUGUUGACCAACUCAUUAUAGUUGUUGGCCCUGAUGGUGUUGAGACGGUCACGGAACUUAGUGCUGAGCCCCCUCCUGAACCUGUCUCUCAUCUUCUCGUCCGUGUCUGCAUGAUACCCAGCAUACUGGCACAGGUCAUUAAAAGCCAGAGCAUACUGCAACACUGUCCUGUUGCCCUAAGUGAGUGCCAGAAACUCGUUGAGCUUUCGGUCCAUAAUUCCGGCUGGUAUAUGGUGCCCCCUUAAAGCUGCCUUGAACUCUCUCCAUUCCACCUCUCUGUCAUCUGGCUGCAUAGCAAGAAAAUGGUCCCACCAUGUCCUUGCGGGUCCGCGAAGCUGCUGGGUGGCGAACCUGACCUUACUGACCUCUGAGCAAACUCCGUGGAGUAGCGGGAAUUUGGAUUCUACUACUCUCAACCAUACAUCCGCAUCAAGUGGGUCCUCUGCCCUGGUGAACAAUGGAGGCUGGGUACUGAGGAACUCCUGAUAGGUGGCUGCCGCGGGGUGACGCUGAUGAUCUCCACCACCAUAGUGCUGAGGUGUUGGCUGACGCUGAGCUAGCUGCCUCAAGAUCUCAUUCUGCUGAGCCAUUAGCUCCUGCAGAGUGGGAGGCGGUGGCGGCGGUGGAGGAACGCGCUCAUUCUGGCCACGACGUGCUCUCCCGGCCAUCUGAAAAAUCACAUAUUUUCUUAAUAACACAUCUUCAAGUUUCAAGGUCCAGUCGCGAAGAAAAAGUCAAAAGGCAAAGUGAUAGAUUCUUGCAUAAACAUAAAGGAUUUCACAAGGCAUAAACUUUUCUUCCCAAAUUAAGACUAACAUCAUCCAUCAACCAUGCUUCCAAAAGAGUGUAUCAUGAUUACAUCAACGGCCCAAAAGACUCAACUCUAUCUAGCCUAGUACCCCAAGGGUGCAAAAGCUAAGCUAGCUUUGAGGAGUCCCACCAUUACCGACUUCUAGCCCUACCCCUGAACCUAGUGAGCGAACGAGGCAACACUCGACCCGGGGGAAGGUGGUCUCCCUGAGCCAGCAGUGUCCAAGCUGGAGGCAGGCUCCUCUCCUCCCUCAAUGUCGACGUCCUCGUUGGCCUCCAUGUCCUGGAUCUCCUGGUGAUGCAUAUCCAGGUGCUCAUUAGCCUCGGCAAGCUGCUGCUGGGUGUUAAUAAGCUGAUCCUCGAGAACCUCUAUGGUGUUCUCCCUGGUCCCCACUAAUUCCUCCAGCUCUUGGAUCUCAUUGGACAGCUGCUCCACCUGCAAGUCCUUUUCCACCAUCUCAGUGGACAAAUCAACCACAAGCUCCUCUCUGUUGUCUAGGGUGAUCUUUGUUGCCUCCAACAAUGCCAUCAGAUGGGACAUCGCCUCACCGCGCAUCACUUGCAGACGGUACAGGGCAUUCAUGCACCGCACUGUCAAGUGAGCAGUCUGACCUGGGUAGAUAGCCCAGAUGUCCUUGGCAUGCUCCACCCGAUCCUUCCACAUUGGGUCGUCCUCCCUCUCCGCGGGGAACAAGCCAAUGGGGUGGGUGGACAACUCCAAGGGAUGGAAUCCACAGAAAGUGGUCAACUCGUGCAGAGCAAUCGCCUCAAUCGUGUCCUCAGCCCAGUAUCCAAAGGACUCAGAGUCCAGCGAACGUCAGCCUGGCUGCAGGGGAUGAGGCUCCAAGGUCAUCCUCACCCUACAACGAGGCACUCGGUGCUUCUCGAACUUCUGCACCGCGUACUGAGGAGGUGUCGUGUAUCCGGCCCCCUGAAGUACCUCCCACAAAAUGCGGGGAAAGCCCUCUCGUGCAAGCCCAUCAGUGUGGGACAGUGCAUUCCCGUCGUCUGAGGAUCCGUGGGAAGUCAUCUGUGUACGGUUAAGCGUAAGUAAAAGAAAAAGAAUUGUAAAAAGAAAAAGGAAACACAACUCAGCCUCUCUCUCUAAUUAUGACAAUGGUACUGAGGUACUUGGUUGGUCAUCAUUUUGUAUUAAAGUCCUUACUCAAUUAUCCAUUUGUUUAAUUUAAGAAUGCAUGCUCGUCCUGAACGACCUCACAUCAAUGUAAAGGGAAUAGGGAAGGACUCCCAUCCCUUAUAGUCGCCGGUAAGGCUUAAUCACUUAGCCACCUAACUACCCCUCUAUCAUCCUAAGGCUUCACGUCCUAGGUCUAUCCUGAUCGUCCUACGAUCUAUCCAACAUUGUUUCUAUCAAGUUUUACUUCGGAAAAGGAUGGUAUUUAUAUUUUAUUGAUUCCUCUGUGGUGGUACAAGCUCUGAUACCAGCUGUGGCGGAGCUGCCCGAAUUAUUCUGACUUAAGUGCCUAGGUCCCACCUUAGAGGCUAGACCACACUUAAAUGGGAAUAACCCGUCAAUCCCUCGGAUCUAGUCUGACGAGGCCACUGACAGGAUCAAGUACCACAAUCUCACUCGAGGGUGAGUCACAGAGCAAAUACAAUAAAACGUAAAACCAUACAUUAAGGAAUAUUAAAUUAUUACAUCACCAUCGGAGUUUUGCAAAAGUAGUCAUCAUUGUUCGAAGUGCAGCGGAAUAAAACUAACGAUAGAUAAAUGGAGGGAUGGGGAAGCCUGUCCCAUCACUCCUCAUGCUCCUCUUCAGUCGAGGCGGGGUCCCACUCGACAGUCCAACCCAGUGGCAAGAUGGAUGGCCAAGUCACUCCAGCAACCAUGUCCUCCAAAGAACCUGUAAAAUUGUGCCACAAGCAAGGCUGAGUAUACUAAUACUCAGCUAGACUUACCCGGUGUGAGGAGUCUACUCCUCUACCUCUAGACAUGCAGCUGUUUGGCUGUGGGGUUUGGUUGCCAAAAGCACUAGCUGAGUUCUAAAUCAAGUUUUAGCUUUGUCAAAUUUAAGUGUGACUCUCUUAAGGCUAAAUAUGUACUAUCUACUCAUACAUAGUAGCAAACAUUUUUAGCAAUCAACAUCUUGUAUCAACUCAUUUCCACUUGUUACUUAGUGCAGUACAAUAGAUCAAGCAGUCUCAUUAGCUGCGAGAAGCAGACGAUUCGAAUCGAGUUUUUAUCCUUGCAAGGUAAACCUAAACACACGACAUGGCGAGGCACUCCGUCCCCACACACAUCAACCAUCCCCAUCGAUUCCCCGUCAGCAGAGAGGGGCUCACCUCCUUUGCGUACAAUGCCUCACUGACCCCGACUAUCGUCGUGCAGUAACCGCACUUGUACCCACCAUAACCGGAAUGGGAGACCAUGUCUCAGGUCGCAUGAGGAGGGCAAUCUGCUGCCAGGUUCAAUCAGGUACUAGACUUAUCGAUUUACCAUAUUUCUCGGUAUGUGUUUAGUACGUUCAAACGCUUGACACAGGUAUCUGCACGUUAAUCCUUAUUCCAAUUUCCCGUCUCGUAGACAACCAAUCCCCAUGGAUUGUUGUCCACAUACUAGUAUCAUGAUGAUAUGAAAGUGGGUACAACCAAUUCCUGAUCUCGCGCGAGUGCUAGAAAAAUCACUCGUCUUCUACCGAGAUCCUAAUUAAAUAAAGCAGCUACUCGACCUAGCAUACUAGUAUUUAUCUCAAAAGGAAUCCUGAGAUCAUGCAACUAGGGUUUCAGUCAACUCCUACACCUAAGUGCACAAUCGAUCCUACAAUCAUUAAGUAUAGUAAAAUAGCAUAAGUAACAGGUUAUGCAUAAACCGGGGCUUGCCUUCCAAGGCAGUGGCAGGCAGAUCCUCUGGUGCAGGCUCUGGUGCUUGAUCUGGGGCUAGCUCCUGAGCAGCUCCUUGCUCCGGCACGAGGACGUACUCUCCGUCAGCGAGGUUACAGUCUAUCGAAAUGCAAUGAAUAUGUAUGUCAUGAUUAUGCAGGAUUUAAUAACAUUAUGCUAAAGGAAGAAAAACUAAGUUAGUUGGCAACUUAGGGUUUCUUGGUCAUACGUGGCUUUUAGUGGUUUAUGCUUAUCACUCCAAGUUUAGGUUUUGUUAAUGAUAAGCAUAGUGGAUUGGUAUUUCCUUUAUAUAUUUCAGUGGACAAUUUACAAAGGGUUUUAGGAUGACACUAAUUUCCAUUAUUCAUUUUCCCUUUCUUUAUUUUCUAUUUAUGAAUUCUAGUGUAGGUUUGAACUACAACAGUGAAUUAACUCUUUCCAAAAAUUCUCUAAAAAUUUUAGUGGCUUGCCAUUGGUCAAUAUAGCCUGUUCUAGGAAUUUGAGGUUCAAAAUAAAAAGGCUAUGCUCUAGACAAAAAUAACAAAAGUUGUGUAAAUGGGCCACUUUGCAUUACAACUGUUAAUUAGGGGUGGGUUCUGUCCUAAGGGUUAUUUUUGUUGGCAUCUAACAGUAAUAAUAAGCUUUUGUGCCAAAAAUCACAGAAAGCUAAGGGAUGGUUAUUUAGUUGUGAUUUUCCAAAGUUUAAUGCCAAAAAGGCACUUUCCACUACCUUGUUAUUUGAAAAAUGUCAAACAGCAGAUUUCAUAUUUUUCCUAUGUUCUUCAUAACAAAAGAUUAACUAUCCCAAACGUUGGGGUUUUUUCACCUUGGGGUUAUUUUUGUAGGGUUUUUCUAAGUUUUCCUUGUUUUCUUAAAAUAAAAGGUAUCCUAUUUAUUUUAUACUAAACCAGGGUAUAAUCAAUUUUUCUAGUAAACUAUACUGAACAAGUAUAUAUACUAACAAAAAUAUGGAGGCUCCCUGGUUCUUUAUUUAAAUCACCUUUCCUAUUUUCUUUAACCUUAAGCAUAAUGUAAAAUAAAUGGCAAACUCUACCUCAAUGGGGUGUACAGAGGGGUUUAGCAUUUUUAAAUAGGUCAGUAGGUGGUCAUGCACUUCUCCAAAUUUUCUUAACCUCAGUUAAAUAGUGCAACUAUUUUUCUUCCUAUUAUUUAGCUUUUGGUCAAAUCAGUAUUUAAUUCAGAAUCCUAAAGUUUUCUAUAGCACAUAGGGGUUUUAUAUUUUUCUUCAGUAGUUUAUAUUAUUUAAGAUCUGACAAAAUUGGUUUGACUCAAUUUGGAUGAAUAAAAUAGAAGAUAUGAAUUAUUCAAGUGUUGUUUAUAUUUAAAAUCAGAUUUAAUUACAGGUUUUCUGGAAAACCACUUUGCACCGAAGUCCUCGGGUUAUUUCCAAACUAACUCUCUCAGUUAUACCCCCGCGCUACUAUUCAUCCGAGUCACUGACAUUGCGCAAAACCCCCUAGCUUUCUCUUCUUCUCCCCCGCGGUCCCUCCCUAGGUUUAAACAAUACCCGCGAGAAGAAAAGGGUGGCGCGGCUUACCGGCGGCGAGAGAGGUCCGGCGAGGGGCGGAGUUGGCUCCGGGAGGUUCUGGCGGUCACAACGGUGUACGGCUUGACGGAGGGGGUGGCCGGAAUCGCCCGGUCCACGUGCGCAAGCGGGUGCUCUCGUCGGCGGCGGGAGCUCCGGCCAAACCACGGCGAUCUAGUUCAAUCCAAAGGCACAGUGAGCUUCACGGGGUGACGUAGAGGCUGUGUGCACAAGGAAUCGAAGAAUGGAGUAGAGGAUUACCCGGUCUACACUCGCCGGCGGUCGGAUGGAGUCCGGCGACCGUGGACUGGCCUCUCCGGCGAAGCAAACUCCGAUUCCUCUCUCGGGGAGCUUCACCGAGGUGUGCUCAGUCUUCUCUGAGGGCUGGACGGGGUUGGGAAGGGUCCUAUUGGCCGGUCUACGGUGGCAGGGGGAUCGGGCGGCCGUGGACACGCUCUGCACGGGCAAACGCCGGUGGGGUUGGGCUCCGGUGAGGUCGAGCGCGUGCGGAGGGGUACAGUCAAGGUCCCUGGGGGCUUUAUAGGCGCGGGCGCGGGCCAUGGUGCCGGCUGGGCUUUGGCGCGACGCGGGGCAUGCGGGGCGCGCGUCGGGCGUGCUCUGGCGAGCCCAGAGUGCGUCGAACACGUGGUCGUUGCUUUCUGCCCUUGUUCUUGCGCCUGCUGAGCAGCCAAACGUGCGAAUCUCGCCCUAUGGCUUGUGUAAGAUUUCUUCCCUGCACCUAUGGCUACCUAGUUCAUGUAAGUUCCAAGGGAAGAUCGGGUCUGGUUUAGAAGAUAUGGUGGCGCCAAGUCUUGUCUGUCUGCACUGUUCAACCCGAGACAAAACAGGUGCCAACUCGUGACAAACGGUCUUGGCUUGGGUUCAAACUCUUCCAGGGGUUCCUUAGAUAAUUUAGUUCCUUUUUGCUAUUUAGACCCUGGGGUUUUGGUGCCAUUAGCUAGGUGAACACCCCUGAUCUCUAGAUUAGGGCUGAUUUUGGACUUAGAGGGAAUGGGUGUGAUUCCAUAUUGUUCUCUACUUGGGGGCUGAUUUAGGGGUGUUAUAGGGGUCUUUUUGUAUUGUUCCUUUGCUAUCUUUUGUAAACAUUUUGGUACUCUUAAACUUUGGUUAAGGUUUAAAUUAUGAAAUGUGCAUUUGCCUAAUCUUUCUCUCAACUAAAGGCUUCAAGAGAGGGGGGGUCCAAGGUUCAAUCCUCCCUUGCCCUAGGUGAUCAUUGCCUAAAAGCUUGGGUAAUACUUUGGUCCUUGGCAUUACUUAACUCACUCAUGCUUCCAAGGUCUUAAGUACUCCCUCUCCUCCAAGUUUUAACCACAUGUAAUAAUAGGUAUAUGUGCCAUUAGGAAGCCAACACCUUGGUAACACCUGGGGUGUUACACGUAGCAUCACUUUAUUCAAAGUUUAGGCCAUAGUUCGCCGGUUUAGCUUUGGCCGGACAUGGUCGCCGCCACGGGUCUGGCGCGGCGCCGUCGUAUUACGGUGUCUGUUGGGGCAGGGGGCUCUCUGGCCAUGGAUUUCGCGGUGAACGACUGAGAUUAGAAUUUGCAUACCGUUUCACUCGGUGCGAUCCUGGCCAUUAGAAUGAGAUCGGAGGGUUCAUGAUUGAUUAUGACGUAGAUGCAACGUGGGCCGUGUGAUUGAAAUCCGAGGGCUCGUAUAACAUGCCACUUGUUCAUGUGUGGGGAUUCGAUCUGGGCGUCCAUUUCUAAUCGGGCGGAUGGCAGCCCACGAUACCCCCCUUCGGCCGAUUGAAUUUAUAGAAAGAACCCUCUAUUUUAGGGAAACAAACCCGUGGUCCAUAGGAACUGUACACUGAGUCUUAGGAAUUCUUACACGCUAGCCCCUGUGCUUCUAGUUAAUUGGUGCGCGGUCCAGACAGAUCUAAAAUCUAUAGAAUUUAUUUAGAAAAUGAGUUUUCUAGUAUAUGGCUCUGAUACCUUAAUGUCUCACCAACCAACGGUGUGCAAAGAUUUGGGAUCAAGGGCAAGUUAGCCCCUCGAUACAUUGGACCUUAUGAGAUUGUGGAACUUCGUGGACCAGUAGCUUAUAAGCUCAACUUCCACACAAGAUUUCUGCAAUACAUGAUGUCUUCCAUGUGUCUCAACUAAAGAAGUGCAUUCGAUUAUCGACAGAAGUCAUGGUCGAGGAAGAAAUGGAUAUAAAACCAAACCUUAUGAGGAACAUCCUAUCAAGAUCUUGGACUGCAAAGAGAAAGCCUCUCAAGAAGGCAAUCAAAAUGUUUAAGGUUCAAUGGAGGCAUCACACUGAAAAGGAAGCCACGUGGGAAACUAAGGAAUAUCUGGAUAAGAACUACCCCGAGUUUCUACCUAAGAAUGUUGGUACGUAACCCAUACCCCGUUUUACUCUAUUCCAAUCUUAAGGACAAGAUUAUUUUAAGGAGGUAGAAUGUGAAACCUCAUGUGUUAGCUAGAAGUAUAAACAAAACCACACCACUUAACCCAUUAUCACAUGUGCAUAAAAUAGAGCAAAAUCAUCCAAAGCUAAGGAUCAUGGUUCUAAUGAGGUAAUAAAAAACCUAGAAUACCUAACCCCUCCAUAGUGACCAAAAAGAAUGGAGUAAACCAAAACCCUAAGUUCACACAUAUGAGCAUAGGGACACUUAAAACAAAAUGAUUAAGAAAACUAACCAAAUCACUUAAUCAUAUGAGGACCCUUAACAAAAGUUGUAGAUAAUUAAGUGUACAGCAAAAGUUACCAUAAGCUUAAGCUAUGAAAAUGAAGGGAAGUUACUAAAAAGUGUAAGCCAAAGUGAAACCCUAAAAGAUAUGUAAGAACAUAUACCUAGCCUUAAACUCUUUCUUGUUCUCUAACCUCCAUUCAUCAAAUCACCUAGGUCCAAAUACAAAAAAUGUGUAAGAACAUUUGAUGCACAUCAUAUAAAAAUAUGAAAUCCAAGCCAAAUUGUUUUACACGACUUGGCUUGGUUUUUGCCUCUAUUCUAGCACAUCUCACAAACACUUUUCCCCAAGCUAUAUCUUUUGAUUUGAAUCACAUUUUGGCUUGGGACUUGCACAAAUCUUACAGAUCUCACAAGGAAAAAGAAAUCUUAUGCAAGGAUUAUUGCCAAAUUUGCUAUGGAUAGUGAGCCAAUGGGCAUUUUAAGUGUAGUAGACGACACUACCACAUGUUGGAUGUCAUGUGCCUGCCCGUGCUCGCGUAGUGGCCAUGCCGCACGUGCCCCUGCAUCAGCAAUCGGCAACCACCACCCUGCACUCCCCUCACGCUUAUAAAGCCAGGUCGGACAUGCUAGCACGCUCCCCUCCCUUGCUAAGACUAGCGCUCAGCCUUCUCGGAUCGCUACUCGUCUCUGAUGAGCUCCCCGUGCCCCGCCACUGCCUCCAAGAGCCAGCUACCAAGGCCAGCCAUCCUCGGCCAUCCUCCUCCUAGUCCGACGUUCAAGCCACCAUCCUCGAGGACCCAUGAAGUUUUCCCAAGCUUAUGUUGAAGCUCUACCACAUCGAAGAAGAGGGAUUACCCUCGCUGGACUUUCUCUACCCGCACACACGUGAUGACCGGCCACCACUGACCGUCUCUGCCGAUCAUCGACACCUACUUGUCCAUCGAGACCCCCUUUGCCUCCCUGAUCACCUCACUAGAGUUCCUGUGCCACCGGUAAGCCAUAAUUUCUCGUCCCUUCCUCGUGCACUUUUCCGACGACCGUUCGGACUGCUGGUUGAGUGAGAUAAAAACUUAGAGAGCUAAAUGCAAGGUUAGUGACAUGUAUGAAUAGUUUUCUAGGGGCAUGGUCAAAUAGCUUAGUUCAGGAUAAGUCUAGGGACCCCAGAUUGGUUGAAAUUGAAACCAUUUAGGUUGAAUGCCAUAGUACUAAUACCUAAAGCAGUGAACCAGAUCCCUACUACAGGCCAAGCAGCCAAUAAGAAGUGUAAAGAACGAGAAUUGUUGAAACUAGCAUAUUGGAAGAUUAAUCGACCAAAAUAACCGUGAGCAGCCACAAUAUUAUAAGUAUCUUCUUCCUGACCAAAUUUGUAACCCUCAUUAGUAAACUCAUUUUCAGUGGUUUCCCUGAACAAACUAGAGGUUACCAAGGAACCAUGCAUAGCACUGAAUAGGGAACCGCCGAAUACACCAGCUACACCUAACAUGUGAAAUGGAUGCAUAAGGAUGUUGUGUCUACCUAGAAUACAAUCAUAAAGUUGAAAGUACGAGAUAUUCCUAAAGGCAUGCCAUCAGAGAAACUUCCUUGACCAAUAGGGUAAAUCAAGAAAACAACAGUAGCAGCUGCAACAGGAGCUGAAUAUGCAACAGCAAUCCAAGGGCGCAUACCCAGACAGAAACUAAGUUCCCACUCAUGACCCAUAUAACAAGCUACACCAAGUAAGAAGUGUAGAAUAAUUAGCUCAUAAGGACCACCAUUGUAUAACCAUUCAUCAACAGAUGCAGCUUCCCAAAUUGGGUAAAAAUGCAAUCCGAUCGCCGCAAAAGUAGGAAUAAUAGCACCAGAGAUAAUAUUGUUUCCAUGAAGUAAAGAACCAGAAACAGGCUCACGAAUACCAUCAAUAUCUACUGGAGGAGCAGCGAUGAAGGCGAUAAUAAAUACGGAAGUUGCGGUCAAUAAGGUAGGGAUCAUCAAAACACUAAACCAUCCAAUGUAAAGACGGUUUUCGGUGCUAGUUAUCCAGUUGCAGAAGCGAUCCCAUAGGCUUGUACUUUCGCGUCUCUCUAAAAUUGCAGUCAUGGUAAGAUCUUGGUUUAUUCAAAUUGCAAGGACUCCCAAGCACACGUAUUAACUAGAAAGAAAAUAUAUAAU